Molecule: small nucleolar RNA, 130 nt
Organism: Cavia aperea (Brazilian guinea pig)
Lineage: Eukaryota; Metazoa; Chordata; Mammalia; Rodentia; Caviidae
Gene: SNORA70
Rfam family: Small nucleolar RNA SNORA70
About the family: snoRNA U70 seems to be exclusive to mammals and is a member of the H/ACA class of snoRNA which contain H (ANANNA) and ACA box motifs. H/ACA box snoRNAs are involved in the conversion of uridines to pseudouridines (5-ribosyluracil) a constituent of structural RNAs (transfer, ribosomal, small nuclear, and small nucleolar).
Source: Ensembl
CUGCAGUCAAGCUGACUGGGCACCUUUGCUGGGGGUGCCCAAUGUACACUGGCUGCAGAUAGCAACUUCCUUGGUAGUAUACUCAGUUUGUUGCUUGUAUGGGCUGUCCCAAGGGACCUUGGAUACACUG